This 497-nucleotide ribosomal RNA is filed under the name uncultured bacterium. Its description in RNAcentral is "partial 16S ribosomal RNA". It matches the Rfam family "Bacterial small subunit ribosomal RNA", at positions 28 to 507 of the family's 1533-position model. The record is from RNAcentral.
GAUGAACGCUGGCGGCGUGCCUAAUACAUGCAAGUCGAGCGAACAGACGAGGAGCUUGCUCCUCUGACGUUAGCGGCGGACGGGUGAGUAACACGUGGAUAACCUACCUAUAAGACUGGGAUAACUUCGGGAAACCGGAGCUAAUACCGGAUAAUAUAUUGAACCGCAUGGUUCAAUAGUGAAAGACGGUUUUGCUGUCACUUAUAGAUGGAUCCGCGCCGCAUUAGCUAGUUGGUAAGGUAACGGCUUACCAAGGCAACGAUGCGUAGCCGACCUGAGAGGGUGAUCCGCCACACUAGAACUGAGACACGGUCCAGACUCCUACGGGAGGCAGCAGUAGGGAAUCUUCCGCAAUGGGAGAAAGCCUGACGGAGCAACGCCGCGUGAGUGAUGAAGGUCUUCGGAUCGUAAAACUCUGUUAUUAGGGAAGAACAAAUGUGUAAGUAACUAUGCACGUCUUGACGGUACCUAAUCAGAAAGCCACGGCUAACUACGUG